RNAcentral lists this non-coding RNA (894 nucleotides) under Littorina fabalis. The record is from RNAcentral. Lineage: Eukaryota; Metazoa; Mollusca; Gastropoda; Littorinimorpha; Littorinidae.
UCCGAGCUUGGCUCUGACUUUCUAAUAUAACAACAAUAAAAGAAUACACAUGGUUCUUUUUUGCUGUAGUGAGGACUAAAAAUUCUAUUGAGGUCUUCUAGAAAAGAAAUCUCUAUUAAUUUUAUUAGUAUUAUAUGAUAUAUUAUACUAUAAGUAACUACUCACUAACACCAGUGUCUAAUAUUAAUAAAGAACCGAAAGUUUGCAUUAGAUGAGUUUAAUAGGCCUGGUUAAUUUGGUGCCAGCAUCCGCGGUUAGACCAAAAAGCCAAGUUAUAUAUUUAAAGGUAUAAAAGUGGUUAAGUAAUAAACUACUUAUGGCUUCUAAAUUUGUUAAUUUAAAAGUAAAAUUUGAAAAUUGACAUUUAUUUUAACAGUAGCUACUUUAUAUAAAGUAUUAACUGAAGCCACGAAAUCUUAGAGGGAAACUAGGAUUAGAUACCCUACUAUUCUUAGAUGUAAAUAAAUUUUAAUUUACCAGAGUACUACGAACCAUAAAUUUAAAACUCAAAGAGCUUGGCGGUGCCUUAGACUCUUCAGGGGAACCUGUCUCAUAAUCGACAAUCCACGAACAACCUCACCCUUUUUUGUAAACAGUAUGUAUACCGUCGUCGCCAGGUAACUUUUAAAAAUAUAACAGUUAGCUAAAAAAUUAUUAAGUUUUUACGUCAGAUCAAGGUGCAGCCUAUAAAAGGGAGAAGAUGGGUUACAAUUAAAAUUUAUAACUACGGAUAGUGGCCAGAAAAGCCACUUGAAGGAGGACUUGAAAGUAAAAGUUAGCAAUUAAAUGCUUUGAAUUAAGCUCUGAGGCGUGCACACAUCGCCCGUCGCUCUCGUUGAAAAAUGAGAUAAGUCGUAACAUAGUAGAGGUAAUGGAAGUUGCCUCUAAAUUAAA